AGUGAACGCUGGCGGUAGGCCUAACACAUGCAAGUCGAACGGCCGCACAGUAAGCUUUCGCCCUUACGGUUGGCGAGUGGCGGAUGGGUGACGCAUAGAUCGGCUUCUACUUUUUCUUGGGUGACUACGUAGGGCAACUUAUGCUACCACCGCAUAUGUUCUACCGGAUAGAUCAAGAGUUCUUCGCGCUUUUGCCGAUUGUAUUAGCUGGUGUCGGAUUAGCUAGUUGGCUGGGUAAAGUCCCACCAAGGCAACGAUACGUAGCUGAUCUGAGAGGGUGAUCGGCCACACUGGAACUGAGACACGGUCCAGACUCCUACGGGAGGCAGCAGUAGGGAAUAUUGGGCAAUGGGCGAAAGCCUGAUGGAGCAAUGCCGCGUGAGUGAAGAAGGUCUUCGGGUUGUAAAGCCCUUUUAUUGGGAAAGAAAAGCAGCAGAAGAAUCCACGGCUGUUCUGACGGUACCCAAAGAGAAAGCCCCGGCUAACUUCGUG
RNAcentral lists this ribosomal RNA (492 nucleotides) under uncultured bacterium. RNAcentral's name for it is "partial 16S ribosomal RNA". It matches the Rfam family "Bacterial small subunit ribosomal RNA", at positions 29 to 507 of the family's 1533-position model. The record is from RNAcentral.